GAUGAACGCUGGCGGCGUGCUUAAUACAUGCAAGUCGAGCGAACGGACGAGAAGCUUGCUUCUCUGAUGUUAGCGGCGGACGGGUGAGUAACACGUGGAUAACCUACCUAUAAGACUGGGAUAACUUCGGGAAACCGGAGCUAAUACCGGAUAAUAUUUUGAACCGCAUGGUUCAAAAGUGAAAGACGGUCUUGCUGUCACUUAUAGAUGGAUCCGCGCUGCAUUAGCUAGUUGGUAAGGUAACGGCUUACCAAGGCAACGAUGCACAGCCGACCUGAGAGAGUGAUCGGCCACACGGGAACUGAGACACGGUCCAGACUCCUACGGGAGGCAGCAGUAGGGAAUCUUCCGCAAUGGGCGAAAGCCUGACGGAGCAACGCCGCGUGAGUGAUGAAGGUCUUCGGAUCGUAAAACUCUGUUAUUAGGGAUGAACAUAUGUGUAAGUAAAUGUGCACAUCUUGACGGUACCUAAUCAGAAAGCCACGGCUAACUACGUG
This 497-nucleotide ribosomal RNA is filed under the name uncultured bacterium. RNAcentral's name for it is "partial 16S ribosomal RNA". It matches the Rfam family "Bacterial small subunit ribosomal RNA", at positions 28 to 507 of the family's 1533-position model. The record is from RNAcentral.